RNAcentral lists this ribosomal RNA (276 nucleotides) under uncultured prokaryote. RNAcentral's name for it is "partial 16S ribosomal RNA". It matches the Rfam family "Bacterial small subunit ribosomal RNA", at positions 524 to 800 of the family's 1533-position model. The record is from RNAcentral.
GACGUAGGGGCGAGCGUUGUCCGGAAUUACUGGGCGUAAAGAGCACGUAGGCGGGAACUUAAGUCAGGUGUGAAAGACCGUGGCUCAACCACGGGGUUGCAUUUGAAACUGGGUUUCUUGAGGGCAGGAGAGGAAAGCAGAAAUCCUGGUGUAGCGGUGAAAUGCGUAGAAAUCAGGAGGAAUACCAGUGGCGAAGGCGGCUUUCUGGACUGAUCCUGACGCUGAGGUGCGAAAGCGUGGGUAGCAAACAGGAUUAGAUACCCGUGUAGUCCCUGA